RNAcentral lists this ribosomal RNA (2187 nucleotides) under Triticum aestivum (bread wheat). RNAcentral's name for it is "partial small subunit ribosomal RNA". Lineage: Eukaryota; Viridiplantae; Streptophyta; Magnoliopsida; Poales; Poaceae. The record is from RNAcentral.
AUGUUGGUUUUUCCAGACACAUCUAGUUAUGUGCUUGCAAAAGUAAAUGUAAAUUUAGUGUGGAACAUGAUAUUUGUGUUUGAGCUUAAUACUGAAACUGCAAACAGGUACUUCAUUAUUAUUGAUGAUGUUUGGAAAGAGGAAGACUGGAAAAUUAUCAAAGCAGCUUUUACUAACAAUUGUAAUGGUAGCAGAAUAAUUGCUACCACACGCAUCACCAAUGUAGCUAGGUCAUGUUGUUCCAACUCUGGUGAUCAGCUUUAUCAAAUGCCAGUUCUGAAUGAUGUUGAUUCUAGGAGAUUAUUCUUAAAGAGAAUUUUCCAACACAACAACCCCUGCCCUCCCAAGCUAAAAACAGUUUCAGACAAGAUUUUGAAAAAAUGUGGUGGUCUGCCAUUGGCUAUAAUCACAAUUGCGAGUUUGCUAGCCAAUAAACCUCAUAAUGCAGAUGAAUGGGAGAAACUGGAAGAUUCCAUUGGUAAUGGUCUUUCAUAUGAGAAUGAUGGUGGUGGAACAGGGAUGAAAGAUAUAUUGCUACUUAGUUAUUGGGACCUUCCGCACCACCUGAAGACUUGUUUAUUAUACUUGUGCAUAUAUCCAGAAGACCAGCGUAUCAAUUGUGCAGAUUUGAAAUGGAAAUGGAUUGCGGAAGGAUUUAUUGCUGCACCAUGGGGAAACCUGUGUCAAGAAGCAGAGAACUAUUUCAAUGAACUUGUCAAUAGAAAUAUGAUCCAGCCGGUUGAUGUUGGCCGUGAUGGCCUUGUACACUAUUGCCAGGUUCAUGAUAUGGUCCUUGACCUCAUAAUAUCUCUGUCGGAAGAAGAAAACUUUGCCACUGUUUUGAACAGACGUGUCUGCAAUUCUUUGCCAAGCAAGAUUCGUCGGCUGUCCAUGCAAUCUACUGGGAAAGGAAACAAAGGGGCAAUCCAUGCAGUCACAACAAGCAAGUUGCAUGUUCGCUCACUAAAUGUGUUUGGAGAAACGGAGCCGGUACCCCCACUUGUGGACUUCCAUUCCUUGCGAGUGUUGGAUUUUGAUAGCUGCAAUUGGCUGGAAAAGGAGCACAUAAAAAAUAUUGGAAGUUGUUCCCAGCUUAGGUAUUUGCGAAUUAGCGGCACACAAAUCACUGAGCUUCCUGGAGAAAUAGGGAAGCUGCAGUUCUUAGAAACUCUGGAUCUGCAGGGCUGUGGUGACCUUAUAACACUGCCAUCAACGAUGGUUCAGCUACAGAAACUGGCGCGCCUACUUAUUCACCACCACAUUUGGUUGCCUGCCGGUGUGAUUGGGAGCCUGCACGCCUUGGAGGAAAUAUCACAUAUCUAUCGAGUUGACAACCCAGUGAAAUUUGCGGAGGAGCUCAGGCACCUAACAAAACUGAGAAAGCUCUCUAUGAAUUGUUAUCCAGAUAUUUGCAGUGAUUAUCUAGAAAGAUAUUUGGAAGUUUUGCAAUCAUCUCUAAGUGAAUUGUGCAAAUUCAACCUUCGAUAUCUUCAUACCAGUGAGGAAAUAGGAGAUUAUCUGCUGGGGGGUCGAAGACUCAGGUUCCCACACCUCCAUCUUGUAAAAUCGGUUUUUACACAUGAGACUCGUUUUGAAAGGAUUCCCAUGGGAAUGGCUUCCAUAAAUGAUCUCGUCCAUUUAGACAUAGAAGUUAAGUGGUUUGAUGAGAAAGGUCUCCAUCUUCUCAUGGGCAUGCCUUGUCUGACCCACCUCCAGUUAAGUGUGAUCGCUGCAGAGGAUUCGACAUGGGGACCCUAUUUUCCGGGAUACGGAUUUACACCGGUGACUGUCGGUAGUAACGGAUUCAAGUUUCUAAAGGUGUUCUGCUUCACAUUGAAGGAUUACACAGGAAUUGGAAUAACAUUUGCACCAGGUGCUAUGCCAGCACUCGGGAGGCUCCAUCUUUGCUGGAAAGCACGGGAUGUUAUGCACAAAGAUCCUGGCGCUGGCAUGGGCAUCGAGCAUCUUUCAGGCCUUGCGCACCUCCAGGUGGUAACUGAUUGUUCGUAUGCAACUGUGGCCGAGGUGGAGGCUGUGGAGGGAAAAGCGACCCCCUUGCAUCCCAACCGCCACACUCUUCAAGUCCAUCUCCAUAGAAAAAACAAGAAAGGUAUGUUCAAGGAUGACAAGGAGAGGGACAGGGAGCGGGACCACUACGAUUACGUCCAGUAUAUUGGCAACAUGUAA